AUGUGGACCUGUCUUCGUCAGCGCUAUGAGCCCUCUGGUGAUGCCUUAUAUCUUUCUGUGGUUCGUCAGGAGCAUGCUCUUCAGCAGGGUGACUCUACUGUUGAUGACUUUUAUGCACAGAGUUCUGCUAUCUGGCGCCAGCUUGAUUCUCUCCGCAGUGCUGGUUGUCGUACUUGCCCCUGCUGCCAGGCUGUCCAGGCCGAUGAGUUUCAUCGCGUCUACGAGUUCCUGUCUCGGCUUCGUAAGGAGUUUGAGCCCCGGCGUGCUCAGUUGUUUGCUCGUGGCCGUAUUUCUCUCAUGGAGGCGCUCUCCGAGAUUCGUGCUGAGGAGACUCGCCUACGUGGUGCUGGUUUGCUGGAGGUUCCCUCUGUGCUCGCUACUCGGGUUUCUUCCACUCCACCUGCUGCACCGCCCCAUUCUCGCUCGAGUGCUCCGCCGCUCUUGCCCACUCCUUCUGGAGGCUCAGGUCGGCCCCGUUCACAUUGUGACUACUGCAACAAUGAUGGUCAUAUUGCGUCCCAGUGCUAUACAAAGCGGAAACACCUGCGCAAGGCGCGAUCAUCCUCCUCAGGGCCUUCGUCA
RNAcentral lists this ribosomal RNA (582 nucleotides) under Triticum aestivum (bread wheat). RNAcentral's name for it is "partial small subunit ribosomal RNA". Lineage: Eukaryota; Viridiplantae; Streptophyta; Magnoliopsida; Poales; Poaceae. The record is from RNAcentral.